Molecule: long non-coding RNA, 11316 nt
Filed under: Vitis vinifera (wine grape)
Lineage: Eukaryota; Viridiplantae; Streptophyta; Magnoliopsida; Vitales; Vitaceae
Description: long non-coding RNA (VVIN_LNC004004)
Source: RNAcentral
GGAGUUGGACCAGGAGGGAGCAGUGGCAUUUGCUUGGUGAUUAGGGUUUUGGGUUUGAGUUUGUAGAGGAUGAGAAAAGCGAAAACGAAAAGGAAAAGGAGCAAGAGGAUGAAUGGUAAAUGAAGAUGAAGUGAAGCAAGCUCCAAGGUUUGAGAAUUAUCAGAAUGCAGGAAGAGGAAUGGAUUUGGAAAUGAAGAAGACAUGGUUGAGUUGCAGCUGCUACCCAUCAUCAUUCGUCUCUUGCUGAUCUUCGGUACUAGGAUGCAAAUUAUUUAAUUGUAGGAAUGUAUGAGAAACCUCCCAUACCUUGGCUCUCUCUUUAUAGGCAAAUGGACUUCCACCAUGCAUGCCUUUCACACUUCCACAGUUCCACAUGCAAUAAAAAUGUGAUCAAGUCUCAUCAAUGGUAGGAGCACUCUCGUACAGUCAGAAUCAUGUUAGGUAUUGGUACAACAGACAGGGGUGACAUGGUUUGGUACGAUAAAUAGGUACCAUAUAUUUAAGGACAUAUUUAAGGAAUCCCUUCAACCUUAAUCAAUUUGAUAAUAUAAUAUGAUUGAGUUGUAAUCUCUUGUGAGUGAUCUUAAGAGGAUAAAAUUUGUUCUAACCCAAUAAAAAUGUGAUAAAUUCUCAUCAAAGAUAGGACAAGUCCUUUGGAUGGCAAUAAAUAUGGUGACACACAUUGAGGGAAAACGAGUUGUGUGGUUGAAAAAAUAGCAAUUUUUUUUAAAUAAUUUUGAAAAAUGGUUUUUAAUUAUUUUUAAGAACAAAAUUUAAUUUGAAAACUCAAAAAUUAAAAUAAUUUUCUUGAUUUAUUCUCCUAUGUAGAAUAUAAAUGUUCUUAAAGUAUUUUUUUCAAUUAUUUAAUCUUAAUGCAGAAAACCCACAAAAAAAUAGCUGAAAACAUCUCAAAUUAUUUUUUUAAAAAAAUGAUUCCCAAUUUUUUUUUUUUAAACGAUUCUACUUUCAUAACAAAUUUGAAAAAACUGUUUUCAAACAUAAAUUUUAAAUUUUAAAUUUUUUUUUCCAUUCAUACUAAAUAAACAGAAGCCAGAAGUCCGGAUCCCACCUAGUCAAAGGUGAAGCCUAUCUACCAUUCUCGGUCAUGUUCCGAGACAGAUGGUUGGAAGAAGAAGCAGAAUUUCAUAUUUUUAAAAAAUAAUUAAUUUCAUAUUCAUGCCACACGUUUGGAAGUUUGAAAUUUGAAUGCAACGUAGAUGAUGUAAUAAAAGAAGAAAACGGAAACAUGAUCUCAAUCUGUUAAUUAAACUUCUUAUGAACCAUUUAAUUAAUUUAAAAUUUAGAAAUGUAUUAUUUAGUUGCUUUAAAUUUCAAGUUCUAUUUAAUUAUAGAAUAUUUUUAGUAUUUAUAAUGAAACAUGUAAAAUUUUACUCGUCUAUUUAUUUAAUUUUUUUAAUUAAAUGACAUUUAUAAUUAACAAUAUGUUUUUAUUUUUUAAAAUUAUAAAAAUAUAAGUCAUAUAGGUUCAACGAGUCAGAUCAUACACGGAUCAAUUUCACAUGGUUAAAUAAACAUGUUAAACAUAUCAUAUAUAAGUUAGACGAUAAAUAGAUCAUUUUGAGAUGAUUAAGUAAAUAUGUUAUAUAAUGUUGUAAAGUAUUUCAAAUUCCUAAUUAGUAUAACUUCAUUUUUUAUAAAAACUAUAAUAAAAAAUAUUUUCUAAGUCGAUAUGUUAUUAUAAUAUUAGUUUUCUUUAUAGAAUAAGAAGAAAGAUAUUAGGAAGAUCUUUGUUAUAGAUGAUGAGGAGAAAAAUCAUUAAAUAGAGACAAGGUUUUAAAGGCUAUACGUGAUGGUUAGAGAUGCUUGGUGGAGUCAGAGGAGCUGUGGUUCAAAAUGUAGAUAUAAGAAAUAAGGAAAUAUGACAUAUUUCGAGAACCUAAUUACUAUAUUUAGUUUCGAUCUUCUAUAAUAUUGUCUAUGAUAUAAUGAUUUUUUUUUCAUUUAUGGAUGUAGAUAUGGUUAUUCAAACCAUGAUAAUACCGUGUGUAUUCUUGUGUAAAUUAUUUAUCUUUAUGUUUUUGAGCUAAUACUAUUUGCAUUAAAACUUUCAUUCGUAUGACAAAUGUUAGGGUGAAUUCACAAUAUUUCAACAAACACCAAGAUUUUUUUUACUAUUUCUUUGUGCAAAAUUAAAUAGGUAAUAACAACUAGUAGUAAUAAAUAAAUAAAUUCAUGUAACAAAAAAAUAAAUCAGAUACCAUAAUUUUUACAUGGAAAACCCUCCAAUGCGAAGGGAAAAACCACAAGACCUAAUUUAGUUUAAACUUCCACUAUCAAUAAUAAUGGGUUACACUUGUCUUUUCUAGAAUAAUCUCUAAAGACUGCUAAAUACAUCAAAAGUACAUAUAUACUUGGAUUAUACAAUCUCUCUUGGUAAAAGAAACAAAGAAAAAUUGGAGAAAGUAUACAAAAAAAUAUCGUUACUGUUCACGAGUAGUAACACCAGUUCUCGAGCUCAAAAUCUGAUUUCUAUCGUUCAUAUUGUUUAUACUCGAGUUUUGAACUUUUCCUCCAAAUUUCCACUGGAUCGAACCACAGAUGAAGCAGGAUCAACUUAUUGAUAAAAUCUAGACAGAUGUGUUUUUUUUUCUCUCUUAUCUUCUCUUUGUUUUUUUUUUUUUCUCGAUUUCUUUUUUGUCUUUUUGUUUUUUAAUGUAACUAACUUGGCCCCAAGCAUAUGGGGCCCACUCCCCCACAUACGAGGGAGGCCAACAACAAAUAAAUCAUAAAUGGGUCAACCUGCUAAAUAGCUUAGAUGGAUUGAUUCACGUAUAAAUGGGUUAUAAAAAUUGGCUAAAUAGGAUGAGAAAAGCGAAAAGGAAAAGGAAGAUGAGCAAGAAAAUGAACAGUCAAUGCAGGAAUUCGAAGUAAAGCAAGCUCUAAGGUUUCAGAAUUAUGAGAGAGCAGAAAGAGUAAUGGAUUUGGAUAUGAAGAAGGCGUGGUUGAGGUGCAGCCGCUAGUCAUCAGCAUUGGUCUCUUUCUGAUCUUCAGUACUAGGAUGAAAAUUAAUUAAUGGUAGGCAUGCAUUAGAAAUCUCCCGUACAUUUGCUCCCUUUACAGGCAACAUGCAGACCUCCCACAUGCUACAUGCAAUAAAAAUGUGAUCAAUUCUCGUCAUGAACAGAACAGCUUCUUUUGGAUGGUCAAGAUGUUAGGUUUUGGUACAAUUCACGUAGUGCAAUUAUAGAAGACACGUGUCAAAUUUUGGGUUGAUUUCAUUUAUAUUUAAAAUUUAGGAUUAAUUUCAUCCGCGUCCCAAUAAUGUAGUGUAAAUAUAUUAAGCUAUUUUAAUUUUAAAUUUUAUUAAUUAACACCCCUAAAAAUGCAUUUUAUUUUUAAAUUUUAAUUUUUAUAGAAUAAAACUUGAUUUUUAGAAAAUUAUUAAACACAUCUUCCUAAAAUAGUUUUAUUUAAAAUUUGUAUAAAAAAUUAAAAUUUGUAUAAAAAAUUAAAAUUUUUAUAAAUUCAUGAAACUUGAAGUCGAUGACUUAAUUGAAUAUAUUUGCACCAAUCAUGAAGUUUUGAGAAGAAAAAAGUCAAUCCCAUUACUUUUUCGAGACAUGUAUAGAUAAUGUACAAGUAACUUAUCAUAUGACGGUUAAUUUCAUUCACCUCUCCUAAUGUUUUGAUUAAAUAUAUCUAAUUUUGAUUAAUUUGAAAUUUAUCACAUACUUUUCUUAUUUUGAACGAAAGAGGAUGUGAGUGAAAAUAAGAAAUGAUAAGGAUAAGAAAGAUAUUUAAGGAAAUUUCAAACCAAUAAAAUGUAUAUGUAUUUAGUCAAACCAUGAAAAAGAGAUGAAUAAAUUAACCCUUAUGCUUAAUUCAUAAUUAUAUAAUUAAAGUUUCAAGUGGGAUUUUGAAAAAAAUAAUAUUGUAAUUUCAAAAAAUGUUUUUAAAAAUAUAACAAUGCAGAAAAUAUUUUUAAAUAUAUUGUACUCGAGAAGAGUUUGAUUAGGAGUUGUUUUUUAAGAAAAACAAAUUCAAUUAAAUUUUGAAAUUGUUUUUGAAAAGACAACUUCAUUAUUUAAAACCAUAUUCCAUGAUCGAAUCAAUAAUUUCUAAUCAACAUAUCAUGAUCUAAAUAUGCAAAAAUUGAUUCAUGGAUCAAAUUUCAAGGAAACUAAUUAUUAUAAAAUCUAAGCCUCAAAACUUUGGAUCAGAACACCGGGAAUUUAUCAAAAAAUAAUAUAAUAAAAUAUAUAUUUAAAACAAUAUUUGAACCUAAUAUAUUCUCAAAACUAUUUUUGGAUUAUAAAAUUAUUGCAUUGAUAAGAAUAUCAUGCAUGACAACAUUUAAUAUCAAAAUUUAAUAAUAAGACAUAUUAUUUUUAUAUAAUUCAAAAUUUUCUAAACAUAAAAAAAAAAAAAACACGUCUCCCAGUACUAAAUGAAAUGAACCGAAGCUCAGGCUCAGCUAAAUCCACCACAUCAUCAUUCAUAUGCCGCUCUGGUUUGAACCUUAAUGGCUCUUCCCAAACUCUGGGGUUCCGCCCAAGCCCUACCCGGCUCAGCAGGACAUGGCUGCCUUUCGGAAUGAAGUAGCCGGCUACAACAGCAUCCGCCAUGGACAAAUGGGGGACAUUGAAUGGUGCCAUGGGGUGAAGCCGCAGAGCUUCUCUCCCAAAGGCCUUAACAUAUUUGAGCUGCUAUUUCAAUCAUCAGUUCCUGCCAAAUUGUAUUUAGUUAGCCAUUGGACCAUCAGAUCAAAGAAAAACCUUAUAAUACAUAGAGCUAAAUUCUCAAUAUGAUUUGGGCUUUGAUCUCUUCUACUGAAAGCAAUGGCUCUCCCUUUGAGUCCCUACUUGUGAUACAAACGUCGACUAUGUCCUCAACCUCCUUUUUCUCCCCAUUCCUCCAUUAUAUUAUUCUCUCAUCCACUAUCGGAUCAUGAUGCUUGUUGAUGAUGCUCAAAGCCUCUUUUACCAUCUUCUGAUGUCCAUCUAAGUCGAAGACUCUCAGACAUGAGAGGUAGUCAGAUGGAGAGAAUGCAUGUAGGUAAGCAAGCGAAGUAAAGAGGAAGUUGACAUGUUCUUCUUCUUCAAGUCCAGGUCCUCCACCUAACCUUCCUUCACCAAAGUAUCUUCUGCUGAACAUCAUCUUCCUAACGAUAUUUCCUGUGUAUUGUCUGACUGCAUUUCUCACAUUCACAACUGAUGAAUCCAUGAAAUUAUCAGUACUAGUAGAGGAUUUACACUGGUUAUAAAUGAAGCGGACAAGAUUGUCGGCUUCUUCAGUUCUCUUCUGGAGAAGUCACAUAUGUCUCUCCUGCUUAUGCACCUCAGAAGUGAGGAUACUUCUCAUCUUCUUCCACUGCUCUCCCCAUGGCGAAAGGACUGUGGUCAAGAAUCUGCUCAAGUGAUGGGACUCCAUUGGAAUAGGUCAGGAUGCAAACACUGCAUCAUGUUUCUUCAAAAACUCCCUUCCAAUCUCAGGCGAAAUCACGGGAAUGACAUGGACAUUGCCCAGUUUGAUGCAUGCGAUCUCAUUGUUCAGUUCUUCCUAAAGCCCAAGUAUCCACCGGAAUGCCGGCCUUUUUUGUGAAUAAUUCAGGCAGGUUCCCAACUAGGCCAUGGAGCUGGACCAGGAGGGAGCAGUGGCAUUUGCUUGGUGAUUAGGGUUUUGGGUUUGAGUUUGUAGAGGAUGAGAAAAGCGAAGAGGAAAAGGAAAAGGAGCAAGAAGAUGAAUGGUAAAUGAGGAUGAAGUGAAUCCAAGGUUUCAGAAUUAUGAGAGAGCAGGAAGAGUAACGGAUUUGGAAAUGAAGAAGCCAUGGUUGAGUUGCAGCUGCUACUCAUCAUCAUUUUUCUCUUGCUGAUGUUAAGGUGCAGAACAAUGGAGUCUGGAUCCCUCCGAAUCCUAAUCCUAAGACCCAUCGAAAAUGUGAAGGUACCAUUCUCCCACACUAAUAUUAUUUAUUUCUAAAGUGAUGUCGAUUAGGGAGGAAACUUCCGAAAGAAAUAAUAUUGAAGAGUUGCUUCUUACGCAUGAAAUGAAGAAGCAAACUUUUUAUUGAAGAAAAACAUUCUCUCUUUUAUGAAAAGAACAUUUCAAUCUCUUACUAUCACUUUCAAUAAAAACAUGACAAAUUCUCAUCAAAGACAGGACCACUUCUUUGGACAGCAAUAAAUAUGCUGUCACACAUCGACAGAAAACAACUUGGGUGUUUUAAAAAAUACUUUUCAAUUAUUUUCAAGAAUUUCAUAUUAAAAUAAUAAUGAUAAUUAAUUAAUUUUACAUCCGAUCCCACUACUUCAAAAAUAUCAUUGAAUAUGAAUGCAUGACGUAAAGGUUUGGAAGUAUGAUUGCAUGUAGAUGACGUAAUAAAAGAAGAAAAAGGGAAAAAAAAACCUACAAAUCAAUUUAAAGUAAAAUAUAUUUUUUUAAAUUUUUCUAUUUUAUACAUUGAUAUCUUCUUUCAUGUAUAAUAUGUUGGAAUUUAUAUAUGUAAAUGGAAAUUAGGAUUUUUUUUUAUUUUUUUUGAAAAACAUGUUUGUUAAUAAAUACAAUUUAUUUUAAAUAACGUAUCUUGUACAACUUCUUCUAAAAGAUGUGUUUGUUGUUUUAAGACACGACCCUUUAAAAGAUGUUUAGUAUUUUAAAGGCACAUCUCUUUUAAAUGUUAUCAUCAAAUCUAUAAAUAGGGACUCUCAUGACAUAUUAAUUCAUCAAUUCUUUUCAUUUUUUCUUCUUUUUACCAAAUAUUUGGUAUUUAAGAAAGUACAAAUUAUUAAGUGAUUCACUAUUUCUCAUGAUUUGAAGUGCUAUUAUCAUAAAAAAAAAUGAUCAUUAUAUCCUAAGAGACAAUUGCCCAUAAAUAAUAAGCACCUGAGUGAGACAAAUUCGUCUUAAAGUCAUAGAGUCAAACUAUCAAUCUUAUUUGUGAGUUUCGAUUUUCUAUUUCAUUUUAUUUAUAUAUUUAUUAUACACACUUAUUGUCCAUAUAUUUUCAAUGAUCUGGAUAACAUAAUAUUUAUUUUUUCAUAUUCAACGGUUUUAAAUAGUGUUAUACAUAUCUAGGAGUUGAAUUCAUUUUUAACUCCAAAUUUUAAGAUAUGGGGGAAUUGGUCCAAUAGGUUCAAAAUUUAUAUACCAAUGUAGCGAUCCCAAUUCCCACAUAAUAAGAGAAAAAUAAAAUACCAUUAAAAUAUCUUUAAUAAUAACUUCCUAUCUAUCAUAUAUACUGGUGGGAUUUUUCCAUAAAUUAAUUUAUGAUUAAAAAAAAGUAUUUUGUGGUAGGAUUUUUUUUUUGCAAAAAAAAUUAUUUGUAGCAAGUUUGUUAUUAUAAGUCCAUGAAUAUCUGGUAUCCACAUAGUUAUAAUAAAAGAUCGAAGCUUAUCAUCUAUAGUUAAUAAAAGAUCGAAGCUUAUCAUCUAUAAUAAUAAACUGAUAUAAUAAGGUAGAUGAUUGACCAUCAUCCUAGGAGUCUUUUCUUAAUCAAUUUGAUAAUAUCAUAUAGUUAAUUACAAUGGAAUCUAUUUGUAAUCAAUAUGAUGUUACCUUAUUAACGAUUAUCUUAACAAUGAAGUCUUUUUUUUAAUAAUUUUGAUAAUUACAAUGUAAUCUCUUUGUAGUCAAUUGAUAACAUCAUAUGACUUUAGAGGUCUAGGUUAGAUGAAAUAUAUGGAAAAAAAACUACUCAAAAUUUGGUCAAUGCAAUACCAAGACCCGUACAUUGAUCCUUUUUAUCAGGUAAAGGAUACCUAAUCCAUUGAAGAACCUCAUUUAAAGACUUGUAGUUGAUUAUAAGUCCUGAGGCACCUCUUUCAAUCUCAGCAAAUGCCCAAAUGGAACAGUGAAUGCAAUCUUAUAUUUAUCUUUUUCUUCACUUUUAAUUUUUCAAAAUCCUGAUUUUAAAUCAAAUUUUGAAAAGAUUAAAGCAUUAUGAAGGCAACCAAUAAAAUCCCUUUUAUUACUUAAAGGAUACCUAAUCCAUUGAAGAACCUCAUUUAAAGGCUUGUAGUUGAUUACAAAUCUUGGGCCACCUGGAACUCCCUUACUAACUCAACUCUAUCCUUUUAUGAUGAAUUUCUUCUAAUUAAUGAAAGUUCUUCAUUAUAUGAUAGUUCUUCUUCACAAUCAUCAUGUGAUUGUAUGAAAAACUGAAGUAUCAACUAUGUGUCAAACAUGAAUGGAGUGUGAUGCCUUUGGUCAUUAAAUUUGGUUACAAUUCCUUCAUCACUUACUCAAUUGGUUUGGUUGUGCCUUGGUAAAUUUCAAAUCUUAAGAAUUUAAUCCUGCUUUGAAAUAGUUUGAUCUUAGGGGUAGAAAUUACUAGUCCAUUAUCUUUGACAAUUUUUUGAAAGAUUUUUAUAUGCUUGAAGUGUUGAUCAAUAGAAUUUAAAAAUAUAAGAACAUCAUCAAUAUAUAUAAUGGUAAAGCUUGUAUAGGGAUUGAAAAUGUUAUUAACCAUGAUCUUAACAAUGAAGUCUUUUUUUAAUCAUUUUGAUAAUUACAAUGCUUGAUAACAUCAUAUGACUUUAGAGGUCUAAGUUAGAUGACCCAUUAAAAUACGUCAUGUUUGGGGUGGAAUAUUAUGUCAACGAUUUUAAAAAGAAAUAUAUCAUAUGACAAAAAAGUGGGUUUUGAAAAUUUCACUCAUUAACAAGAGAUUCUAAAAAGGAAUUUUAAAAUUUUAUCAAAUGUCUAAGGUUCUAAGAAAGCAAUUCCAAACAUUAAGAAGUACUACUUAUGACCUCUUUCAAAAUCAAAUGCGUAAUGUAAAGUUGGACAACGUUUGUGAACAUAUUUAGGAGUCAACUCAGAAGUUUAGGAUAGAAGAGUCAACUUAGAAGGAUGUAAGAUUUAAAUAUUGACGUCAUAUACACUUCAAUGAAAGGAAAAAAGGAAAAAAAGAAAAAAGGAAAAAAAAAAAAAAAAAGAAAAACCCACUUCAAAUCAAUUAAAAUACAAAUAUUUUUUAUAAUAUAUAUAUUUAAAAUUUUAUAUUAUAUUUGGUGUAAAAAACAUUUUCUAGUUUUUAUUUUCUAAAAAUUAUUUUAUUUUAUCUUUUUUUAUUAAUUAUUUAAGAAAAUAAAAUUUAUAAAAUCUUACUUGGUUUUGAGUUUUUAUUAAUGUAAAAAAUGGUUUAGAAAAUAUAAUUAAAAUUUUAUAUAAUACACAUGUUAUUAUAUAAAGUAUAUUAUUAUAUUACAUUUAUUUAUUAUUCUUUUUAUUUUUAGAAAUACCUUUAUAGCUUCUCACUAUUAUAAAAUUAAAAUAUCAAGGACACAAACUUUUAGCUUUAACAACACAUAAUAUGAUUUUUAUAGUUUCUGAGAUAAAACAAAUAAAAAUUAUGAUAAUAAAAGUGAAAUAUAAUGACAUAUCAUUUUUCAUACAUCUUUGUAUCCCCAAAGCAUCAUGUGAUAAGCGGAGAAGAAAAGAAAAUUGGAUGAGAGCAUUUAUCUUUAUUAACUCAUAAAUCCUUAUUUAUAGGCUCUACUCAUCAAGCGCCGGAAUGGAUGAAGUUUUAAUCAAUUCCCAUACAUGGAAGCAGGCAAGCGUGGUUUUGCAUGAGCAUGGAGAGGCUUGGCUAGAAAGAGCUCGUUCAUUGAUUCUGUGAGGUCAAUUUGGUCCUGGUUCGGUGGCACACUCCACGAAAAACAUUGAAGGAGUCUCGCCAAGAGUGUAACUGUCAAGGCUGUCCCUAAGGCAGUUCCAGGACACCCGCGUCUCCCAGUACUAAAUGAAAUGAACCGAAGCUCAGGCUCAGCUAAAUCCACCACUUCAUCAUUCAUAUGCCGCUCUGGUUUAAACUUUAAUGGCUCUUCCCACACUCUAGGGUUCCGUCCAAGCCCUACCCGGCUCAGCAGGACAUGGCUGCCUUUGGGGAUGAAGUAGCCGGCCACAACAGCGUCCGCCAUGGACACAUGGGGCACGUUGAAUGGUGCUAUGGGGUGAAGUCGCAGAGCUUCCCUAGCACAGGCUUUAACAUAUUUGAGCUGCGCGAUAUCGGAUUCUUGAACAAGUCUAUCCUUUCCAACCACUCUAUCGAUUUCUUCUACGGCCUUCUGCAUAAUCUCGGGUUGAUCGAUCAUUUCUGCCAUUGCCCACUCAGCUGCAUGCGCUGGAUUGUCCACUAUUUCAAUCAUCAGUUCCUGCCAGAUUGUAUAUAGUUAAUAUAUAUUGAACCCCAAAGAGAAGAACUUCAGAAUAUAUAUACGAAAUUAAGAUAACAUAUUAGAGCUAAAUUCUCACUAUGAGUUGGGCUUUGAUCUCUUCUACUGAUAGCAAUGGUUUUCCCUUUGUGUCCCUGAUUGUAAGGAAAACAUCGAGUGUGUCCUCAACCUCCUUCUUCUCCCCAUUCCUCCAUUUCAUUAUUCUCUCAUCCAAUAUCGGAUCAUGAUGCUUGUUGAUGAUGCUCAAAGCGUCUUUUACCAUCGUCUCAUGGCCAUCUAAGUCGAAGACUCUCAGGCAUGGAAGGUAAUCAGAUGGAGAGAAUGAAUAUAGGUAAGCAAGCGAAGUAAAGAGGGAGUUGACGUGUUCUUCUUCUUCAAGUCCAGGCCCUCCAUCUUUCCUUACUUCCCCAAAGUACCUUCUGCUGAACAUCAUCUUCCUAACCACAUUUCCUGUGUAUUGUCUGACUGCAUUUCUCACAUUCACAACCGAUGAGUCCGUAAAAUUAUGGCUAGUAAUACUAGAGAACUUACACUGGUUAUAAAUGAAUCGGACAAGAUUGUCGGCUUCUUCAGUUCUCUUCUGGAGGAGCGAAAUAUGUCUUUCUGGCUUAAGCACCUCAGAAAUGAUGAUCCUUCUCAUCUUCUUCCACUGCUCUCCCCAUGGAGAAAGAGCUGUUGUCAGGAACCCUCUGCUCAAGUGAUGGGACGCCAUUGUAAUAGGUCUGGAUGCAAACACUGCAUCAUGUUUCUUCAAAAACUCCCUGGCAAUCUCAGGCGAAAUCACGGGAAUGACAUGGACAUUGCCCAGUUUGAUGCAUGCAAUCUCAGUGUUGAGUUCCUCCAAAAGUCCAAGUAUCCACCGGAAUACCGGCUUUUUUGUGAAUAAUUCAGGCAGGUUCCCAACUAAUGGCCAUGGAGUUGGACCAGGAGGGAGCAGUGGCAUUUGCUUGGUGAUUAGGGUUUUGGGUUUGAGUUUGUAGAGGAUGAGAAAAGCGACAACGAAAAGGACAAGGAGCAAGAGGAUGAAUGGUAAAUGAAGAUGAAGUGAAGCAAGCUCCAAGGUUUCGGAAUGAUCAGAAUGCAGGAAGAGGAAUGGAUUUGGAAAUGAAGAAGACAUGGUUGAGUUGCAGCUGCUACCCAUCAUCAUUCGUCUCUUGCUGAUCUUCGGUACUAGGAUGCA